RNAcentral lists this ribosomal RNA (166 nucleotides) under uncultured bacterium. Its description in RNAcentral is "partial 16S ribosomal RNA". It matches the Rfam family "Bacterial small subunit ribosomal RNA", at positions 340 to 523 of the family's 1533-position model. The record is from RNAcentral.
UACGGGGGCAGCAGUGGGGAAUCUUGCGCAAUGGGCGAAAGCCUGACGCAGCAACGCCGCGUGGGGGACGAAGGCCUUCUGGGUUGUAAACUCCUUUCAGCAGGGACGAUUGUGACGGUACCUGCAGAAGAAGCCCCGGCCAACUACGUGCCAGCAGCCGCGGUAA